CAGCAGUAGGGAAUUUUCGUCAAUGGGCGCAAGCCUGAACGAGCAAUGCCGCGUGAACGAGGAAGGUCUUCGGAUCGUAAAGUUCUGUUGAGAGGGAAAAAGGGUCACCAGAGGAAAUGCUGGUGAAGUGAUAUUACCUUUCGAGGAAGUCACGGCUAACUACGUGCCAGCAGCCGCGGUAAUACGUAGGUGGCGAGCGUUAUCCGGAAUGAUUGGGCGUAAAGGGUGCGUAGGCGGCCUGUUAAGUCUGAAGUGAAAGGUACCGGCUCAACCGGUACAGGCUUUGGAAACUGGCAGGCUGGAGGACAGGAGAGGGCGGUGGAACUCCAUGUGUAGCGGUAAAAUGCGUAGAUAUAUGGAAGAACACCAGUGGCGAAGGCGGCCGCCUGGCCUGUUACUGACGCUGAGGCACGAAAGCGUGGGGAGCAAAUAGGAUUAGA
RNAcentral lists this ribosomal RNA (440 nucleotides) under uncultured Allobaculum sp. RNAcentral describes it as "bacterial SSU rRNA". It matches the Rfam family "Bacterial small subunit ribosomal RNA", at positions 349 to 782 of the family's 1533-position model. The record is from RNAcentral. Lineage: Bacteria; Bacillati; Bacillota; Erysipelotrichia; Erysipelotrichales; Erysipelotrichaceae.